Molecule: ribosomal RNA, 253 nt
Filed under: uncultured bacterium
Lineage: Bacteria
Description: partial 16S ribosomal RNA
Rfam family: Bacterial small subunit ribosomal RNA
Source: RNAcentral
UACGUAGGGUGCGAGCGUUGUCCGGAAUUACUGGGCGUAAAGAGCUCGUAGGUGGUUUGUCGCGUUGUUCGUGAAAACCUGAGGCUUAACCUUGGGCGUGCGGGCGAUACGGGCAGACUGGAGUACUGCAGGGGAGACUGGAAUUCCUGGUGUAGCGGUGGAAUGCGCAGAUAUCAGGAGGAACACCGGUGGCGAAGGCGGAUCUCUGGGCCGUAACUGACGCUGAGGAGCGAAAGCAUGGGGAGCGAACAGG